Molecule: ribosomal RNA, 465 nt
Filed under: Vreelandella stevensii
Lineage: Bacteria; Pseudomonadati; Pseudomonadota; Gammaproteobacteria; Oceanospirillales; Halomonadaceae
Description: partial 16S ribosomal RNA
Rfam family: Bacterial small subunit ribosomal RNA
Source: RNAcentral
CCUACGGGUGGCUGCAGUGGGGAAUAUUGGACAAUGGGCGAAAGCCUGAUCCAGCCAUGCCGCGUGUGUGAAGAAGGCCUUCGGGUUGUAAAGCACUUUCAGUGGGGAAGAAAGCCUUGGGGCUAAUACCCUCGAGGAAGGACAUCACCCACAGAAGAAGCACCGGCUAACUCCGUGCCAGCAGCCGCGGGAAUACGGAGGGUGCGAGCGGUAAUCGGAAUUACUGGGCGUAAAGCGCGCGUAGGCGGUCUGAUAAGCCGGUUGUGAAAGCCCCGGGCUCAACCUGGGAACGGCAUCCGGAACUGUCAGGCUAGAGUGCAGGUGAGGAAGGUAGAAUUCCCGGUGUAGCGGUGAAAUGCGUAGAGAUCGGGAGGAAUACCAGUGGCGAAGGCGGCCUUCUGGACUGACACUGACGCUGAGGUGCGAAAGCGUGGGUAGCGAACAGGAUUAGAUACCCGAGUAGUC